AGAGUUUGAUCCUGGCUCAGGACGAACGCUGGCGGCGUGCCUAAUACAUGCAAGUCGAACGCACGAAGUUGAAGAGCUUGCUCUUUAACCAAGUGAGUGGCGGACGGGUGAGUAACACGUGGGUAACCUGCCCAUUAGAGGGGGAUAACAUUCGGAAACGGAUGCUAAUACCGCAUAGUUUCAGGAAUCGCAUGAUUCUUGAAGGAAAGGUGGCUUCGGCUACCACUAAUGGAUGGACCCGCGGCGUAUUAGCUAGUUGGUGAGGUAAUGGCUCACCAAGGCAAUGAUACGUAGCCGACCUGAGAGGGUGAUCGGCCACACUGGGACUGAGACACGGCCCAGACUCCUACGGGAGGCAGCAGUAGGGAAUCUUCCGCAAUGGACGAAAGUCUGACGGAGCAACGCCGCGUGAGUGAAGAAGGUUUUCGGAUCGUAAAACUCUGUUGUUAAAGAAGAACAAGGAUGAGAGUAACUGCUCAUCCCCUGACGGUAUUUAACCAGAAAGCCACGGCUAACUACGUGCCAGCAGCCGCGGUAAU
Molecule: ribosomal RNA, 539 nt
Filed under: uncultured bacterium
Lineage: Bacteria
Description: bacterial SSU rRNA
Rfam family: Bacterial small subunit ribosomal RNA
Source: RNAcentral